Equus caballus (horse) is the source of this 2749-nucleotide long non-coding RNA. The record is from Ensembl. NCBI's taxonomy places the organism in Eukaryota, Metazoa, Chordata, Mammalia, Perissodactyla, Equidae.
AUUGGUAGUUACCAGAGGUGAGGGAGGCAGAGGGGAGAAAUGGGUGAACUGCUUUUAUCUCUUUUUGUUGUUGUUGUUUAAAUAAAUUGAAUAAAAAAAAAAACAGAAAAACAAAGAAAAAAUGAAAAGAGGUGAAUCAAACAUCCAUGGAUUAUGGGACAACUUGAAAAGGCAUAGCAUGCACAUAAUUGGAAUACAAGAAGGAGAAUAAAGAGAGAACAGACCAGAAAUAUGUUUGAAGUAAUAAUGUCCAAAACUUUUGAAAAAUUAAUGAUGACACAAAAGCACAGAUCCAGGAAGUUUAGAGAAUACAGUGUAGGAUAAACACCAAGAAAUCUACACCUAGGUAUAUCUUGUGUAUUAUUAGUCAAGAGUCUCCAGAGAAACAAAAUCAAUGGGAUAUGUAGAGAGACACAAAAGAGGAGAUUUAUUAUGGGAAUUGGCUCACAUGAUUAUGGGUGAACCCCCACCUAUAGUUAUAAUUAUAUAAACAUAAGAAUAAAAAGGUAGGGGGUGGUGGGUAGGGUAGUUUUCAAAGAAUAAAAAAGACUUGUGAGAUAAUAACAAGUGCAACGUGUAAUUCUUGCAUGGAUUUGAACCAACCAACUAUAACAAGUCAGGAAACUAAAAUCAGGAAACUGAAUAUGGACUGGCUAUUACUGAUCUUAAAGAAUUAAUUUUAAAUUUUGAAGGCAUGAUAAUGUCAUGGGGAUAUACCUUAAUAGUUAGAGAUGCACACUGAAUUAUUUAGGGUGAAAUUAAAUGAUAUCCCUGUGUGAUCGGCAGAAUAAUGGCCCCCAAAGAUGUCUACAUUCUAUUCUCUGGAACCUGUGAAUAUGUUACUCUACGUGGCAAAAGAGACUUUGCAGCUGUGAUUAAAUUAAGGCUCUGCUGAAGGAGGGAUACCCUGGAUUAUCCAGCAAUAGCCUUAAUCCAAGCUCCCCUUCAAACUGAGCUCCUGGAAUCUUCUCUCUAACUUCCCGCUGCCACAUCGAGCUCCCUGCAGAGACAGCAUGGCCGGCUCCCUCCUGUCGUUCAUUUCUCAGCUCAGUGUCACAUCCUCAGAGAAUCCCUCUCUGACUUCAGCCUCCCUGGUUCCAAUCAGGACAUGAAGGGAAUGUGCCAAGACGCCAGAGAAUAAGCCAGUCCUCACAAACUCUCCAGCCAAGCUCUGCAAACUCUGGAAGGCGGAAUCGAGACUGGUAAUGAACUUGGGCACUCAGGCCAGGUCAGCUCUGAGCUCUUUUGAACGGUGACUGGCAGCCCCCGUCCCUGCUGGGAAGGGCCCUCACUUCUCCCCCCGGCCAGGCCACCCUGAGUCCCUGCACCAACCACACAGAUCCUCAUCGUGUGUCUGCCCGCCACCGGGUGCCCUCUUCCCCUGGGGCUUUAUGGAGAGAAAGGUAUUGGCCUCAAAGACCUGUGGGAUUCCCAGGUCCUCUAGUCUCCCCGGAAUCCUUCUCCUCCCCCGUCUAGACUCAUUUCUCCCUCAGCCUCUGUGGCACCGUGCUCAUCACUGUGUCUCAGUGCUUAGUUCUUAGUUGGCCUGCCUUGAUCCAGACUCAUGAGUGGAUCUGUUGUCCCCAAAGCCUGUGAUCCCCACCCAGGUGCCCUGCCCCAUGUGCACCCACUGGUUUGCUCUGGGAGGAAAAAAGAAAAGGAAAGACAAAAUCACCAAACAGCAGUGGAUCAGGCCCUUCCUCGUACUCCCUCUCUUCCUUUCCAUGGUGUGCUGCCACUCUCAUGGCUCCACGUCAUGGUUAUUUGCUGUGGUUUUUGUAGCAAAUAAAGAACGAUAGUUGAGUUUUCUCAGUGAUCUUCCCUACUAGGCUGUGCAUCCCUGAGAGCAGGGCCCACGCUGGGGGCAAGUGUUCAGUGGGGCCUGAAUGGCACACAGUAGGUGUGCACCAAACUGAGCGGCAUUGAAAUUUCAGUUUCAGUUUCAGAUCCGGCCCAGUUCCUCGUGUCUAAUUAGCUCCAGCUAUCUCUCUAUUGGUGAGAAGAGAACGAACGGAAGAACGAGCUCAUUCAAGUUUGGGGUAGAAGGAGAAAGUCAGAGCCCACGAUGCCCUGAGCACAGGCUGAAGACGAGAGAAUGCCUGUGGGGAGGAAGAGAGAGACCCAUUUUAAUUGGAAAGCUUUUCUUAUGAUUCCUUUUCUUCUUCUUGUUUUUAAGUUUCAGUCUUGGAUCCUAGAAAUUACAGGCUCCUACAGCAUCGCCUCUGCGGUCGGAAAAAAUGCUCAUUUCACUUUUAAAACAAACAAUGGAAAGUUCCUUUUAAAAGGAAAAAUCUUAUUAGCCCAAGUCCAAGGAAAUCACCCGAGAGUUUCAGUCAGAUCUGCAGGGAUUGCCCACGGGGCAGAGGGGGCCCGGGAGGCAGGCCUGAGGGAGGGUCUGUCUGACCUCCCCCCGUCAAGGGCUCCCCUUCUCCGGAGAAGCACCACCCACCCUCCCCGCGGGCCAAGCACGCAGAAGACCUCACAGAGAACAAACGCAGGAGGAAACCGCGCAGACAUGAAAGGGAGGAGAAUAUCCUUUACCCAAAUAAACAGCCAGAGGAAGAUGCAGAGGGAAGCGAAUCCCAUCAGACAAAGCCACAAAUUAAGAUCACAGGACACUGGGCUUGGGAGUCGCGCUCUGUCUGUAAAACAUCUUCCAGGAAAGCUGCCCUUGGGCAACCCUGUCAUCUUGCUGGUCCCUCUGCUCAUGCUAGGCCAAGAGUGGCCCUGCCACCGGCAUCUGGAGGUG